Molecule: ribosomal RNA, 330 nt
Filed under: uncultured eukaryote
Lineage: Eukaryota
Description: partial 18S ribosomal RNA
Rfam family: Eukaryotic small subunit ribosomal RNA
Source: RNAcentral
CCCUUAGAUGUUCGGGGCCGCACGCGCGCUACACUGAAGGAAUCAGCACGUCUUUCUCCUUGUCCGAAAGGACUGGGUAACCCGCUGAACCUCCUUCGUGCUAGGGAUUGGGGCUUGUAAUUCUUCCCCAUGAACGAGGAAUUCUCAGUAAGCGCGAGUCAUAAGCUCGCGUUGAUUACGUCCCUGCCCUUUGUACACACCGCCCGUCGCUACUACCGAUUGGAUGGUUUAGUGAGAUCCUCGGAUUGGUCCCGGCGCGGCCUCUGGUCGUGCCGGAGUGCCGAAAAGAAUGUCGAACUUGAUCAUCUAGAGGAAGUAAAAGUCGUAACA